CCAUAUAGAGUGAGAGUUGCGACAACUCCAUUGACUCCAAUGGAACGCUUUUUUUACAGCAAUGGCGGCUCGUGGAGCCUCUCAAUAGUUCCUGGAAGUAGCAGCAAACCGAUGCCGCGCCGUAGAGAUGCAGCAGAACAAACCGUUUGCGACGCACUUUUAACAGACCCAGGUAACUGGCUGAUGGUUCACUGGAAUGCUGACUGGCUGCUGACUGACUUGCUGCUGGUUGACUGGGCAGUGUCACCUGUCCCUGUCUCUCCUCUCUAGCCAUGUCCUUUUUCUUCACUCUCACUUUCCCUUCUCUGAGUGUCCUCGUUCUUUUUUCCUCAACCUUUGAAACUGAUAGAGGUCUAGGGGUGCAUCGUGGAGCAGGGCCUCCUCUUUUUGACCACAGGACGAUGUACAAAGAUUGUGGGAAUAGCAUCUGGUCUCAGCCUACUCUUGAAUUUUUUGGUCAUGACAAAUUGCAUUGCCGCAAUUUGUCUGCAUACUGACUUCAGUUUAGUUUCCACACACACCUUUUUUUUGUCUACCCACAUACAGUACAUACACAUGGUGGUUAAAUGCACAGUUAUAGGUAACACUGAUGACUCCCUGCAAUGUCUCACCAUGAGUCUCCGCUCCCUGGGUUUUGCAAGGCUUUGCUUGUUCCUUAUUUCUAGUAAAACAUUGUCAAUGUAAAAAAGUGCAAAUAAAUGUAAGUAUAAUUACCUA
Carassius gibelio (silver crucian carp) is the source of this 717-nucleotide long non-coding RNA. RefSeq lists it as uncharacterized. The record is from RefSeq and is a predicted model, not a curated record. The transcript has 3 exons. Lineage: Eukaryota; Metazoa; Chordata; Actinopteri; Cypriniformes; Cyprinidae.